GGGCUAGGGCAGAAGGGGAGGAUUUCUCCACAAACCUCUUAAUAGUUACAUUGUAAAGUAUAGGGGAAUGUGCUAGAGGAGUGAGAUGCUUCUUAUUGCAGUCACAGUCUAUUGAGGAUACCCAGUUUUGUGCUCCCUUCCAGGACAGCUGGACAGUCCAUUUUUGCUGCUUUCUCUGUGGUCUGAUUGUGAUGGAGCAAGUUCAUCAUUUCCAUGACUACCAGUACCGUGUAUCGUUGUGUGAGGACACCAUGGCAAAGAGCAGGGGGACCCAUGUUAAAGAAGAUCCUCUUUCAAGCGACUUUGAUGGAGCCUGAAGUUUUGAUAACUGGUCCAGCUGUAGGAAUGGUACCACGCUCACUCAAAUGAAAUGGCCUGCAAUCAGCCUACACAAGAAACUUGCUCGAGUAUGCACAGAUAUCUUCUUUCUGACCAGAUGCCAGCAAAUGAAUAUCAUACACAAGGGACUCAGGUGACCAAUCCACUCUGUUCUACAUACCACACAGGCUAUUUUGACAAGCUGUACUUCACUUUCACUAGGAAACUGAGUGUUAGAUACAGCAAACAGGAACAGAUCAACACCAGACUUGCAGAACUUACAGAAUUCAGAACCACCCAGACAUAACAGCCAAGGAAAAUGUCUUUGCAUCUAGCCAUGAAGUUUAUCAUUAUCACAAACCCCUGAACUCCUUAAAGAAGAUGAAGGAAGCAAAACUUCCCAGAUUUGAAUGCUCCAAUAAAAGGCCUAUAAUGGCCACACCACCGCCACAUUGUAUCAGAAACCAGCUGGCUGCCACAGCCACCCUCACACCAUCAGCUUGCAUUUCUAAACACACCACUAGAUCCAAUGUCUCCAGCCAAGCUCUAUAUUACAACUCUGUCUGCUCUGAUCCCACCAACCGGGAUGCAUACCUGAAGGAUCUGGAGCAGGGAUUCUGACAAUUACAAUAUGCUCCUAGAACUGUAGCCCCUCAAAUCAACAUAUGAGUGGCUACUUUUGUGUCUGUUUAUGUUCUUUCACAGCAUCUGAUGAAGUGAGCUCAGGCUCACAGAAACUUAUACAUCUCUGAUUUAGUUAGUCUAUAAAGCACAAAUCUACCCUGCCUUUUGUCUGAUGUAGGCCUCACUGGAGCAUUGAUCAAUAUGUAUACUGCUCACACAAAGGUUUUGCUAAUGCAUUGACAAGAGUAGGCCUACCAGCAAACCUGACUGGUGCAUGAACUCCUCAUAAAAAAAACUCAUCAUGUGGGCCAGAUGGGCACUCCUGCAAGAAGAUGGGAGUGGGAGAUGGCUGUACAAGUUGUAGGAUAGUCCAGUACCAGGAUGAUAAGACUAGAACAGGAACACCCAGGUCAGGAUGUAA
This is a long non-coding RNA of Alligator mississippiensis (American alligator), 1363 nucleotides long. RefSeq lists it as uncharacterized. The transcript has 3 exons. NCBI's taxonomy places the organism in Eukaryota, Metazoa, Chordata, Crocodylia, Alligatoridae. The record is from RefSeq and is a predicted model, not a curated record.